UUACUAUGGAGAGUUUGAUCCUGGCUCAGGAUGAACGCUAGCGGCAGGCUUAAUACAUGCAAGUCGAGGGGGCAGCAAUGUCACCGGCGAACGGGUGCGUAACGCGUAUGCAACCUACCUACAUCAGGGGGAUAGCCCUAGGAAACUGGGAUUAAUACCGCAUAAUAUUGGAUAUGGCAUCAUAACCAAUUGAAAUAUUUAUAGGAUGUAGAUGGGCAUGCGUAGGAUUAGCUAGUUGGUAAGGUAACGGCUUACCAAGGCUACGAUCCUUAGGGGCUCUGAGAGGAGUAUCCCCCACACUGGCACUGAGAUACGGGCCAGACUCCUACGGGAGGCAGCAGUAGGGA
Molecule: ribosomal RNA, 347 nt
Filed under: Lacihabitans soyangensis
Lineage: Bacteria; Pseudomonadati; Bacteroidota; Cytophagia; Cytophagales; Leadbetterellaceae
Description: bacterial SSU rRNA
Rfam family: Bacterial small subunit ribosomal RNA
Source: RNAcentral